AGGGAAUAUUGGGCAAUGGGCGAGAGCCUGACCCAGCCAUGCCGCGUGCAGGAAGAAGGCUUUCUGAGUCGUAAACUGCUUUUGACAGGGAAGAAUAAGCUGGACGUGUCCAGUGAUGACGGUACCUGCAGAAUAAGCACCGGCUAACUCCGUGCCAGCAGCCGCGGUAAUACGGAGGGUGCGAGCGUUGUCCGGAUUUAUUGGGUUUAAAGGGUGCGUAGGCGGCCGUUUAAGUCUGGGGUGAAAGCCCGCUGCUCAACAGCGGAACUGCCCUGGAUACUGGAUGGCUUGAGUACAGACGAGGUUGGCGGAAUGGACUGAGUAGCGGUGAAAUGCAUAGAUACAGUCCAGAACCCCGAUUGCGAAGGCAGCUGACUAGGCUGUUACUGACGCUGAGGCACGAAAGCGUGGGGAGCGAAC
RNAcentral lists this ribosomal RNA (420 nucleotides) under uncultured bacterium. RNAcentral's name for it is "bacterial SSU rRNA". It matches the Rfam family "Bacterial small subunit ribosomal RNA", at positions 356 to 773 of the family's 1533-position model. The record is from RNAcentral.